AUGGCUGCAAAAGUGAAUACACACUCAGUCCGGGGUGUCACGGGUUCGAACUUUAGGGAGCAUGUCAGACUAAAACCUAAGCAUAAUUGGCAUAUAAUGAAGAAGGGUUUUGCUACCAAGCAAAAGUCUUGCGUGUUGCAUCAGAACACCAAGGACUCAAGGAGCCACCAUAUGCCAAAUCUCUUUCCCUUCCUCUUUCCUAUCUUUUUCUCCAGUCCGUCUGCCGUUGAAUAG
Molecule: ribosomal RNA, 234 nt
Filed under: Triticum aestivum (bread wheat)
Lineage: Eukaryota; Viridiplantae; Streptophyta; Magnoliopsida; Poales; Poaceae
Description: partial small subunit ribosomal RNA
Source: RNAcentral